Molecule: ribosomal RNA, 253 nt
Filed under: uncultured bacterium
Lineage: Bacteria
Description: partial 16S ribosomal RNA
Rfam family: Bacterial small subunit ribosomal RNA
Source: RNAcentral
UACAGAGGGGGCAAGCGUUGUUCGGAAUUACUGGGCGUAAAGGGCGCGUAGGCGGCCUGUUAAGUCGAACGUGAAAUCCCUGGGCUCAACCCAGGAACUGCGUCCGAUACUGGCAGGCUUGAAUUCGGGGGAGGGGUGCGGAAUUCCAGGUGUAGCGGUGAAAUGCGUAGAUAUCUGGAGGAACACCGGUGGCGAAGGCGGCAUCCUGGACCGAUAUUGACGCUGAGGCGCGAAAGCCAGGGGAGCAAACGGG